GACGAACGCUGGCGGCGUGCAUAACACAUGCAAGUCGAACGGGGGUAUUUAUUUCGAUGAAUACCUUAGUGGCGAACGGGUGAGUAACGCGUGAGCAACCUAUCCUUAAGAGGGGGAUAACAUCUGGAAACAGAUGCUAAUACCGCAUAAGACCACACUGCCGCAUGGCAGAGGGGUCAAAGGAGCAAUCCGUUUAAGGAGGGGCUCGCGUCCCAUUAGAUAGUCGGUGAGGUAACAGCUCACCAAGUCAGCGAUGGGUAGCCGAGCUGAGAGGCUGAUCGGCCACACUGGAACUGAGACACGGUCCAGACUCCUACGGGAGGCAGCAGUGGGGAAUAUUGGGCAAUGGGGGGAACCCUGACCCAGCAACGCCGCGUGAGGGAAGAAGGCCUUCGGGUUGUAAACCUCUGUCAUUGGGGAAGAAGAAAGUGACGGUACCUAAUGAGGAAGCCCCGGCUAACUACGUGCCAGCAGCCGCAGUAA
RNAcentral lists this ribosomal RNA (483 nucleotides) under uncultured bacterium. Its description in RNAcentral is "partial 16S ribosomal RNA". It matches the Rfam family "Bacterial small subunit ribosomal RNA", at positions 28 to 523 of the family's 1533-position model. The record is from RNAcentral.